This is a non-coding RNA of Arachis ipaensis, 156 nucleotides long. The record is from RefSeq and is a predicted model, not a curated record. Lineage: Eukaryota; Viridiplantae; Streptophyta; Magnoliopsida; Fabales; Fabaceae.
CUGCUUGCAAUAAUCAAACAUCCAAUGAACCUACCUUAAAAAGAUAUAUGCAGAGUCAAAGAAAAAGGUUAUUACAACUAAAACAUCAUAUAAAUUAACUGCAAACCAACAUCUAUAGGAUUUACAUUAUUUUUUUUAGAGACAAACGAAUAAACA